CCUUGAGUCGAGGCACAGCAGCUUUCCCGUCACCUCCAGCGCCGCCUGCGCGGCCGAGCGCAACAGCGGCAGUUCUAUGGUGACCACCAGCUCAUGGGGGUCUUGGCAUUCCUGCGGUCCAGCUUCACGCCGAACUGCUUCUCGACUGCCUCCAGGGCCGUAGCGUCCAGCAUCUGGCGGAAGCCCUCGUGCCGCCGGGCCAGCGCUAGCGCGUCUGGAUGGAAGACCACGUCGUAGACCAUGUAUCGGCUGCUGUUGCGCCCCGCGUACUCACGGCCUGGCGCCAAGCUGUAGGGCAGGGACCAGUGACUGCCAGGAGCUGCUCCCCGGUCGUCAUCGGAGCCGGGCCGGCUGCUGGGCGCGCCCACCAGCGCAUUGCUGCAGACGUUCACGAAGCAGCGCCGUGUCCCGUCCAGGCUGGUGCGCAGCACGUGCCCCGGCUCCGGGUGCACGAACCGCACCUCCACCCCGCGCUCACGCUCUAGCGCGGUGAUCUCCGCCUCGUAGCGCCGCCGGUUCUCCGGGUUGGUGAGCUCCUCGGCGUACUGGGAGAACAUUCGCCGGAACUCCGGGUCCUGGAAGGCGGAGCGUGGAAUAUCAAAUGCUCCUAUGAUAUUGAAAACGUGCUCUCUGAAAAACAUCCCACAAAACACAGACCUGAUUUACUAAAACGUUACUUCAGAGUUACUAGCGGACUCUCUCUCUUGAUGAAGCCAUGUCGGGGGCACACAUGGCAAGCGACUGAGGGUAGCCUCCAGCCAACAGCCUGCAAGGCAAUCAGGAACUGAAUCCUGCCAACAACUGAAUGAGCUUGAAGCGAAUGCUGCCUGGUCAACAUUUGAGAUGAUCCAUCUUGACUGCAACCUUGUGAAAAGACCCUGAAGUUGAGGACCCAACGAAGCCACACCUGAAUUCCUAACCCACAGAAAAUGUGAGAUAAUAAAUGUGUACUGUUUUAGCCUCUAA
This is a non-coding RNA of Macaca mulatta (Rhesus monkey), 966 nucleotides long. NCBI's taxonomy places the organism in Eukaryota, Metazoa, Chordata, Mammalia, Primates, Cercopithecidae. The record is from RefSeq and is a predicted model, not a curated record.